GCCGCCGCCGCCGCCGCCGCCGCCGCCGCUGCCGCCGCGCCGCCGCGCUGCCGCGAGAAGGGUCGACCAGGUGGCAGAGGAGUGUGCUCUAACAGAGAUGGGUGGCAUUUUGGGGACAAGUGACCGGGUCCCCAAGCUCAGAGGUGGCUGUGUCCAGUGCAUCAGCCCCGUGCCCUCUCGCGUGGACAUUUUUAUACUUGGAGUUGUGGUUUUGGACCUGCAGGUAAGUGCUGACACGCUGUUCUCUGGUGACUGUCGCCAGAGAGAGGGGACUCCGGACGUGCGUUGGGGACACGGGGACAAAGUGGGCUUCCAGUGGGCUGGUGCUCGACCGUGCUCCUUUCUGAGAGCCACCUGCUUGGGCUCGCGCGGUGGCUUGUGUGCGUUCGUCCCGGUUGUCCCGCGACGGUGAUGCCACCUCCGGCCUAUGGUGCCCGAGGGCGGUGGGGGUGAGGCGGGCGUCGGGUCCUCUACCCGCGUGCGCUCCUUGCCGCUGGUGAGCCGAUCGCCUGGUGGUUGUGACAACCCUCUGACUGAAAGGACCUCGAUGAGGGGUGGCUUCAUGCCACACGUGUGCGUGUCAGGCGUUCUCCGCUGGGGUUGUCUACCGCCUGCAGUGGGAGGCGGGGGCCGGCGAGGCUGCAGCGGGCCCCACUGGUGGCUGUCCUUGCCGGGUCGUGCCCCCCGCCCUCACUCCACGUGUUAAAACUCCGAGCUGACUGUGACCGAUGUGGUGCUGUGGUGCUCUCCUGGGCCGGACCUAAGCUGCUCCAGAUGAGGGACGGCCGUUCAUGGCGAACGCUGCCGAGCCUCUCGUUCUGGCCUGCGGGCCCCUCGUUCUGC
Molecule: long non-coding RNA, 843 nt
Organism: Lepus europaeus (European hare)
Lineage: Eukaryota; Metazoa; Chordata; Mammalia; Lagomorpha; Leporidae
Exons: 2
Source: RefSeq, a predicted model, not a curated record